This 397-nucleotide ribosomal RNA is filed under the name uncultured bacterium. Its description in RNAcentral is "partial 16S ribosomal RNA". It matches the Rfam family "Bacterial small subunit ribosomal RNA", at positions 523 to 918 of the family's 1533-position model. The record is from RNAcentral.
AUACGUAGGGGGCGAGCGUUGUCCGGAAUGACUGGGCGUAAAGGGCGUGUAGGCGGUUGUCUAAGUCUGGAGUGAAAGUCCUGCUUUCAAGGUGGGAAUAGCUUUGGAUACUGGAUGACUUGAGUGCGGAAGAGGUAAGUGGAAUUCCCAGUGUAGCGGUGAAAUGGGUAGAGAUUGGGAGGAACACCAGUGGCGAAGGCGACUUACUGGACUGUAACUGACGCUGAGGCGCGAAAGUGUGGGGAGCAAACAGGAUUAGAUACCCUGGUAGUCCACACUGUAAACGAUGAAUGCUAGGUGUAGGGGGUAUCGACCCCUUCUGUGCCGCAGUCAACACAAUAAGCAUUCCGCCUGGGGAGUACGGCCGCAAGGUUGAAACUCAAAUGAAUUGACGGGG